This 497-nucleotide ribosomal RNA is filed under the name uncultured bacterium. RNAcentral describes it as "partial 16S ribosomal RNA". It matches the Rfam family "Bacterial small subunit ribosomal RNA", at positions 28 to 507 of the family's 1533-position model. The record is from RNAcentral.
GAUGAACGCUGGCGGCGUGCCUAAUACAUGCAAGUCGAGCGAAACCACCAGGUCCUUUCUCCUCUGACUUUGUCACCGGUCGGAUGCUUAACUUGUGUUUAACCUACCUCUCCGACUGGGAUGCCUUCAGCGAACCGUAUCUUCUACCCAAUAAUAUAUUGCACCUCGUUGUUCCCUAGUUAGAUUCGCUUUUUCUUUCACUAAUAGCUUACUACGCGCCGCAUUCGCUAGUUGGUAAGGUAACGGAUUACCAAGGCUACGAUGCGUAGACGGCCUGAGAGGGUGAUCGGCCACACUGGAACUGAGACACGGUCCAGACUCCUAAGGGAGGCAGCAGUAGGGAAUCUUCCGCAAUGGGCGAAAGGGUGACGGAGAAACGACGCGUGAGGGAUGAAGGUCUUCGGAUCGGAAAACUCUGUUAUGAGGGAAGAACAAAUGUGUAAGUAACUAGGCACGUCUUGACGGUACCUAAGCAGAAAGCCACGGCUAACUACGUG